AUAACAAAUAAUAUACCAAAAAAUCCCUCAUUUACCGAAAGCAAACUCAACCUACUUCACCAGCUAAACAUAUGAUAGCUGUUCUAUACUUAAACUCGUUCAUUUUACUUCACAGUACUAGUAAAUUUUGCAAACACAAAAACAAUACAAGAAAAACGAUCUGUCUAAAUGCAAAUCUGUAAAUAUUUUCAUGAUGAAAAAUAACGAACGAAACAUUUUAGAAUUGCUUCAAACAAUGAAUUAACAAACUGGUAUAGAAUCUUCCAAUUGAACAGUUACCAUAACAUUGUUAUCUUUACUCUAACGAUUUUUGGGUCAACAUGAAAAUAAAUAUACGUCAAAUCACAAACAUUUAACAUUAUAAACAACAAUCAAAAUAAUCAUUUAUUUAGAUUAAUUGGACUACAAUAAGUUGUUUUCAAUCUGUUAAAAGAAAUAUAAAAACGAAAGCAGUUUGACCGUAUUUUGAGGACCGCAUGGUCCAAACAAUCCUUACAGACUGGGGCAUACUCAAAGUAAUGGGUUAGAACUAUUAAGUUUACAAAGAAGCAUAAGAUAAUGUAUCAUGUGAGUAGAAACACGAUGGCGUCAUAGUAGACAUGAAAUAACCGCAAACAUAUUUACAAGUAUAUUUGCCAAAUGAAAACAUCUAUAUCAUUGUUUGUAUGAUAAUACUCUUCCUCAAACUCCUUUAAUAAUGUUAUCGAUUAAUAAAGAUUGAAAGAAAUGUUAUGCAGUGGGCUAAGGUUUGAUGACUUUUUAAUUUCCAGUGACAACGUUAACUUUUACAUGCUUAUUGAGGAUGUGAUAUAGUAAGUAAGUUAGUAAGUAAUUAGUGUAUUAUAGCGACUUGUGCAUAUGUGCAUACUUACAGAGUUUGUUAAUAUAGUAC
This 892-nucleotide long non-coding RNA is filed under the name Mytilus galloprovincialis (Mediterranean mussel). The record is from RNAcentral. Lineage: Eukaryota; Metazoa; Mollusca; Bivalvia; Mytilida; Mytilidae.